UACGUAGGGUGCAAGCGUUGUCCGGAAUUAUUGGGCGUAAAGGGCUCGUAGGCGGUCUGUCACGUCGGGAGUGAAAACUCAGGGCUUAACCCUGAGCCUGCUUCCGAUACGGGCAGACUAGAGGUAUGCAGGGGAGAACAGAAUUCCUGGUGUAGCGGUGAAAUGCGCAGAUAUCAGGAGGAACACCGGUGGCGAAGGCGGUUCUCUGGGCAUUACCUGACGCUGAGGAGCGAAAGUGUGGGGAGCGAACAGG
Molecule: ribosomal RNA, 253 nt
Filed under: uncultured bacterium
Lineage: Bacteria
Description: partial 16S ribosomal RNA
Rfam family: Bacterial small subunit ribosomal RNA
Source: RNAcentral